UACGUAGGGGGCAAGCGUUGUCCGGAAUUAUUGGGCGUAAAGAGCGUGUAGGCGGUCCGGUAAGUCCGCUGUGAAAGUCCAGGGCUCAACCCUGGAAUGCCGGUGAAUACUGCCGGGCUAGAGUCCGGAAGAGGCGAGUGGAAUUCCUGGUGUAGCGGUGAAAUGCGCAGAUAUCAGGAGGAACACCGAUGGCGAAGGCAGCUCGCUGGGACGGUACUGACGCUGAGACGCGAAAGCGUGGGGAGCAAACAGG
Molecule: ribosomal RNA, 253 nt
Filed under: uncultured bacterium
Lineage: Bacteria
Description: partial 16S ribosomal RNA
Rfam family: Bacterial small subunit ribosomal RNA
Source: RNAcentral